This 452-nucleotide ribosomal RNA is filed under the name uncultured bacterium. RNAcentral describes it as "bacterial SSU rRNA". It matches the Rfam family "Bacterial small subunit ribosomal RNA", at positions 29 to 526 of the family's 1533-position model. The record is from RNAcentral.
AACGAACGCUGGCGGCAGGCUUAACACAUGCAAGUCGAACGCCCGAGCAAUCGGGAGUGGCAGACGGGUGAGUAACGCGUGGGAAUCUACCCAGUUCUUCGGAAUAACUGAGGGAAACUUCAGCUAAUACCGGAUACGCCCCAAGGGGGAAAGAUUUAUCGGAAUUGGAUGAGCCCGCGUUCGAUUAGCUAGUUGGUGGGGUAAUGGCCUACCAAGGCGACGAUCGAUAGCUGGUCUGAGAGGAUGAUCAGCCACACUGGGACUGAGACACGGCCCAGACUCCUACGGGAGGCAGCAGUGGGGAAUAUUGGACAAUGGGCGCAAGCCUGAUCCAGCCAUGCCGCGUGAGUGAUGAAGGCCUUAGGGUUGUAAAGCUCUUUCAGUGGGGAAGAUAAUGACGGUACCCACAGAAGAAGCCCCGGCUAACUUCGUGCCAGCCGCCGCCGUAAAAC